RNAcentral lists this transfer RNA (87 nucleotides) under Dehalococcoidales bacterium. RNAcentral describes it as "tRNA-Leu". It matches the Rfam family "tRNA". From Rfam's summary of the family: Transfer RNA (tRNA) molecules are approximately 80 nucleotides in length. Their secondary structure includes four short double-helical elements and three loops (D, anti-codon, and T loops). The record is from RNAcentral. RNAcentral also lists the same sequence under 2 other names. Lineage: Bacteria; Bacillati; Chloroflexota; Dehalococcoidia; Dehalococcoidales.
GCCGAGGUGGUGGAAUUGGUAGACACGCCAUCUUGAGGGGGUGGUGAGCGUAAGCUCGUAGGAGUUCAAAUCUCCUCCUCGGCACCA